UCGCGCGAACCGUACCGCAAACCAACUCAGGUGGAUGGGAUGAAUAAUCCAAGGCGCUCGAGAGAACUCUGGCCAAGGAACUCGGCAAAUUGACCCCGUACCUUCGGAAUAAGGGGUGCUCCCCAUGGUGAGGCAGAUUCCUGCUCAGCCUCAGGGAGCCGCAGAGAAAUGGUGGUGGCGACUGUUUACUAAAAACAUAGGUCUGUGCGAAGUCCUACAGACGACGUAUACGGACUGACGCCUGCCCGGUGCCGGAAGGUUAAAAGGAGGAGUCAGCGCAAGCGAAGCUCCGAUUUGAAGCCCCGGUAAACGGCGGCCGUAACGAUAACGGUCCUAAGGUAGCGAAAUUCCUUGUCGGGCAAGUUCCGACCUGCACGAAUGGCGUAACGAUCUCCACGCUGUCUCGGCCAGAGACUCGGUGAAAUUGAAGUCGCGGUGAAAAUGCCGUGUACCCGCAGAAAGACGGAAAGACCCUGUGCACCUUUACUAUAGCUUGACAUUGGGUUUUGAACCUGCAUGUGUAGGAUAGGUGGGAGGCUGUGAAAGCUGUACGCCAGUAUGGCCGGAGCCACCCGUGAAAUACCACCCUUGUUUGUUCAGGACCCUAACUCGCAGCUGUAAUCCAGCGCGAAGACAGUGUCUGGUGGGUAGUUUGACUGGGGCGGUCGCCUCCUAAAGAGUAACGGAGGCAUGCAAAGGUUCCCUCAGGCUGAUUGGAAACCAGCCGUUGAGUGCAAGCGCAUAAGGGAGCUUGACUGCAAGAGAGACAUCUCGAACAGAUACGAAAGUAGGUGCUAGUGAUCCGGUGGUCCCGAAUGGAAGGGCCAUCGCUCAUUGGAUAAAAGGUACGCCGGGGAUAACAGGCUGAUCGCAUCCAAGAGUUCACAUCGACGAUGCGGUUUGGCACCUCGAUGUCGGCUCAUCACAUCCUGGGGCUGAAGCAGGUCCCAAGGGUACGGCUGUUCGCCGUUUAAAGUGGUACGCGAGCUGGGUUUAAAACGUCGUGAGACAGUUUGGUCCCUAUCUUCUGUGGGCGUAGGAGAAUUGAGAGGGUUUGUCCCUAGUACGAGAGGACCGGGAUGAACGCACCACUGGUGGAUCAGUUGUCGCGCCAGCGGCAUAGCUGAGUAGCUAUGUGCGGAAUGGAUAACCGCUGAAAGCAUCUAAGCGGGAAGCCAGCCUCGAGAUAAGUUCUCCCUGUCGCAAGACACUAAAGGGCCGAUGAAGACUACAUCGUUGAUAGGCCGGAGGUGGAAGCGCUGCGAAGCGUGGAGCUGACCGGUACUAAUAGCCCGUGCGCCC
Molecule: ribosomal RNA, 1302 nt
Filed under: metagenome
Description: bacterial LSU rRNA
Rfam family: Bacterial large subunit ribosomal RNA
Source: RNAcentral